AGUGAACGCUGGCGGUAGGCCUAACACAUGCAAGUCGAACGGCAGCACAGUAAGAGCUUGCUCUUACGGGUGGCGAGUGGCGGACGGGUGAGGCAUACAUCGGAAUCUACUUUUUCGUGGGUGAUAACGUAGGGAAACUUACGCUAAUACCGCAUACGACCUACGGGUGAAAGCAGUGGAUCUUCGGACCUUGCGCGAUUGAAUGAGCCGAUGUCGGAUUAGCUAGUUGGCGGGGUAAAGGCCCACCAAGGCAACGAUCCGUAGCUGGUCUGAGAGGAUGAUCAGCCACACUGGAACUGAGACACGGUCCAGACUCCUACGGGAGGCAGCAGUGGGGAAUAUUCGGCAAUGGGCGCAAGCCUGACCCAGCCAUACCGCGUGGGUGAAGAAGGUCUUCGGGUUGUAAAGCCCUUUUGUCGGGAAAGAAAAGCAGCGGGUUAAUCCCCCGCUGUUCUGACGGUACCCAAAGAAUAAGCACCGGCUAACUUCGUG
Molecule: ribosomal RNA, 492 nt
Filed under: uncultured bacterium
Lineage: Bacteria
Description: partial 16S ribosomal RNA
Rfam family: Bacterial small subunit ribosomal RNA
Source: RNAcentral